GCUGUCAGAAGCCACCUUUCCCUUUAUACUUUGUGUGCCAGGGAGUACUGGCAAUUGAUCAAGCUUAACUUCAGACGCGUUUGGAAUAUGGCUAUGGGUUAUAUCCAUCAAUUUUAGCCCAUUAAAUGACAGGGUGGAAGUCGGAUUAUCAAGGUACGUUAAGUUUUUCAACCAACGAUGUUCCAGCAACAUGCUUGCUGAUGGCCUGUCUGCAGGAUUUCUUCUAAAGCAGCAAUUUAGAAAAUCCUUGCCAUCAGGUGACAGUGUUUCAGGUAUUGGUGGGGUAUCCUUGAGAACUUUAAACAUGGCUGAAGCCCCUUCAUAAUCACUCCAAGGAGGUUUUCCAGUGAACAUUUCAAUAAUAGUACAGCCCAGGCUCCAAAUGUCAACUGCAAGUGCAAGAUCAGAGCUGGUGUCAUUCCGCAUUACAGCUUGCAUAAGCUCAGGAGCCAUCCAGUAUGGACUUCCCUUCAAAGAAAGCUCAGCUGCUUGUCCAGUAAGAUGUUUCGACAUCCCAAAAUCAGCAAGCUUGACAACACCAGAUGCAUCAACAAGCAAAUUAGCGCCUUUUAUGUCCCUGUGUAUUGUCUUUGUGCUGUGCAAGUAGGCUAACCCAGAGAGAAUGUGGCGAGUAAAACUACGAACAACAUUUUCUGUUAUGGCUCCACAAUGUUCACGGACAUAUUUAUUGAUUGAACCAGGAUGAACAUACUCUAGAUAUAUAUAGAAGCAGUCUUCAAAUAUUUCACUACCAUAAUACUGCACAAUGUUUGGAUGCUUCAGCUGGCUGAGAAUUUUAAUUUCCUGUUCUAAUUGCUUUAUAGACUCUGCAGAUUU
RNAcentral lists this unclassified non-coding RNA (837 nucleotides) under Hevea brasiliensis (rubber tree). The record is from RNAcentral. Lineage: Eukaryota; Viridiplantae; Streptophyta; Magnoliopsida; Malpighiales; Euphorbiaceae.